AAGAAGCCAAAGUAGUCUGCCCCAACUUGUUGCAAGUGAUACCCAAGAAGGGGGCCAGCUCUCCAGGGCCUCUCCUGACCUUUGGAGGAGUCAUACGCACCUUAGCACAAGAAAUGCCUGGGGAACCGGUGCUGCAUCUGGGACCCUGGAGCCUGCAGGAAUUGCAAGGGAAGAAUUGGUCCACGUCUGUGAGAGGAGGCCUCUGAAACACGCUGACUUCACAGAGGAGAAGGAAUGAGCUCAAUUUCAGGCACCUCCUCCGGGGCGGUCAAGAGCAGAAUGAAGGAGAACAUGUAUGGCCCUAGGUUGGCCUUGAAGAAUUAGAGAAGCUGCUGGUGCCCCGCCCCCAACCUGGCCCAACAGCAGAGCCUCCGCUAGGGGGAGCCGUGGAGACCUGAUUUCCUCUGCGCCGCCUUUCCUAAUGAAUACCCCAGGGGAGCUCCUGGCAGCACCCUGUGGAAUGGCCCCGCGGAGCUCUGGCCCCUGGAAUUUGCCCUUCACAAUUAUGCUCCCUGCUGGGAGAAGUAUAAAUAUGGAUGGAGCGUGGCGUCUUUAAACAUGGCACAAGAGUAGAGGAACAACCAAGUCCAAAUGAUAAUAUUUUGAAACGCCACGGGGAGCCUCUGCUGCUGUUGAGUUAGAAUUGCUUCUCUUUCAUGUGAUUAAAGAAGCCCUUGUGGGUUUUUGCUUUUCCUUAGAGACAUACCAUGGUUUCUCCCCCCGCACUACAGCACUGAACGAUUUUUAAGGUUUCUAAGUGCACUCCAUUUACAUUUCCUACUCAUUCUCUAAAUGAAAGGCAGGCUAAAACACAUUAAUGAGCUUCCUGAUUACUGCAGCCCUUGAGAAAUUAAUUAAUGACAAUGCAGCCACACUUAACAUUCCUCCUCCUUUCUGAGUUUGGAAAGCGGGAGGAGCUGCGCUUUAAUCCACGCCCAACCAAGAGCCACCAUGUGUCUUUAGCCGAAGAGUUGGUUUGCCAGGACACAUUUCAGAUUGCCUUUCCUAGAGAAAAGCCAUUCCCUGAAUAAUUAAGAGACAG
This 1042-nucleotide long non-coding RNA is filed under the name Homo sapiens (human). Its description in RNAcentral is "HSALNT0009770". Lineage: Eukaryota; Metazoa; Chordata; Mammalia; Primates; Hominidae. The record is from RNAcentral.